UACGUAGGGGGCAAGCGUUGUCCGGAUUUACUGGGCGUAAAGGGCGCGUAGGCUGUGCUGUAAGUCAGGCGUGAAAGCCCCGGGCUCAACCUGGGAAUUGCGCUUGAUACUGCGGCGCUGGAAGGUGGGAGAGGAUGGCGGAAUUCCCAGUGUAGAGGUGAAAUUCGUAGAUAUUGGGAAGAACACCGGUGGCGAAGGCGGCCAUCUGGCCCAUUUUUGACGCUGAGGCGCGAAAGCGUGGGGAGCAAACAGG
RNAcentral lists this ribosomal RNA (253 nucleotides) under uncultured bacterium. RNAcentral's name for it is "partial 16S ribosomal RNA". It matches the Rfam family "Bacterial small subunit ribosomal RNA", at positions 524 to 776 of the family's 1533-position model. The record is from RNAcentral.